GAUGAACGCUGGCGGCGUGCCUAAUACAUGCGAGUCGAGCGAACGGACGAGAAGCUUGCUUCUCUGAUGUUAGCGGCGGACGGGUGAGUAACACGUGGAUAACCUACCUAUAAGACUGGGAUAACUUCGGGAAACCGUAGCUAAUACCGGAUAAUAUUUUGAACCGCAUGGUUCAAAAGUGAAAGACGGUCUUGCUGUCACUUAUAGAUGGAUCCGCGCUGCAUUAGCUAGUUGGUAAGGUAACGGCUUACCAAGGCAACGAUGCAUAGCCGACCUGAGAGGGUGAUCGGCCAAACUGGAACUGAGACACGGUCAAGACUCCUACGGGAGGCAGCAGUAGGGAAUCUUCCGCAAUGGGCGAAAGCCUGACGGAGCAACGCCGCGUGAGUGAUGAAGGUCUUCGGAUCGUAAAACUCUGUUAUUAGGGAAGAACAUAUGUGUAAGUAACUGUGCACAUCUUGACGGUACCUAAUCAGAAAGCCACGGCUAACUACGUG
This 497-nucleotide ribosomal RNA is filed under the name uncultured bacterium. RNAcentral's name for it is "partial 16S ribosomal RNA". It matches the Rfam family "Bacterial small subunit ribosomal RNA", at positions 28 to 507 of the family's 1533-position model. The record is from RNAcentral.